GACGAACGCUGGCGGCGUGCUUAACACAUGCAAGUCGAACGGAAAGGCCCUGCUUGCAGGGUACUCGAGUGGCGAACGGGUGAGUAACACGUGGGUGAUCUGCCCUGCACUUCGGGAUAAGCCUGGGAAACUGGGUCUAAUACCGGAUAGGAGCCAUUUUUAGUGUGAUGGUUGGAAAGUUUUUUCGGUGUAGGAUGAGCUCGCGGCCUAUCAGCUUGUUGGUGGGGUAAUGGCCUACCAAGGCGGCGACGGGUAGCCGGCCUGAGAGGGUGGACGGCCACAUUGGGACUGGGAUACGGCCCAGACUCCUACGGGAGGCAGCAGUGGGGAAUAUUGCACAAGGGGCGCAAGCCUGAUGCAGCGACGCCGCGGGGGGGAUGACGGCCUUCGGGUUGUAAACUCCUUUCGCUAGGGACGAAGCUUUUUGUGACGGUACCUAGAUAAGAAGCACCGGCUAACUACGUG
This 465-nucleotide ribosomal RNA is filed under the name uncultured bacterium. Its description in RNAcentral is "partial 16S ribosomal RNA". It matches the Rfam family "Bacterial small subunit ribosomal RNA", at positions 28 to 507 of the family's 1533-position model. The record is from RNAcentral.